CCUUUCUGCACUGCUGACCACAACUUGAUGACUACUUUUCUUUUUAUAAGCAGCUUCCAGAAAAACAAGCCCAAUACAAAUAAUAAAUGCCAACAAGCUAGCAAAAGCGUUGGAAAAUGGGUUUUGUGGUAGAACCAAAGAAAGCGCUAAUGGAGGACAAGGAAUGAGUACAGAUAAAAAUAGUAUAAUCAUGUCUAAAUAAAAUUGAUGGACAUAGCA
Molecule: long non-coding RNA, 219 nt
Filed under: Elaeis guineensis (African oil palm)
Lineage: Eukaryota; Viridiplantae; Streptophyta; Magnoliopsida; Arecales; Arecaceae
Description: long non-coding RNA (EGUI_LNC020052)
Source: RNAcentral